UACGGGGGGGGCAAGCGUUGUUCGGAAUUACUGGGCGUAAAGGGCUCGUAGGCGGCCAACUAAGUCAGACGUGAAAUCCCUCGGCUUAACCGGGGAACUGCAUCUGAUACUGGAUGGCUUGAGUUCGGGAGAGGGAUGCGGAAUUCCAGGUGUAGCGGUGAAAUGCGCAGAUAUAUGGAAGAACAUCAAUAACGGCGAAGGCAGUUAACUAUUCUGUUACUGACGUUGAGGCACGAAAGCGUGGGGAGCAAAACGG
RNAcentral lists this ribosomal RNA (256 nucleotides) under uncultured bacterium. RNAcentral's name for it is "partial 16S ribosomal RNA". It matches the Rfam family "Bacterial small subunit ribosomal RNA", at positions 524 to 776 of the family's 1533-position model. The record is from RNAcentral.